Molecule: ribosomal RNA, 122 nt
Filed under: Klebsiella sp. PL-2018
Lineage: Bacteria; Pseudomonadati; Pseudomonadota; Gammaproteobacteria; Enterobacterales; Enterobacteriaceae
Source: RNAcentral
UUGCCUGGCAACGAUAGCGCGGUGGUCCCACCUGACCCCAUGCCGAACUCAGAAGUGAAACGCCGUAGCGCCGAUGGUAGUGUGGGGUCUCCCCAUGUGAGAGUAGGGCAUUGCCAGGCAUC